RNAcentral lists this ribosomal RNA (985 nucleotides) under Staphylococcus saprophyticus. RNAcentral's name for it is "bacterial SSU rRNA". It matches the Rfam family "Bacterial small subunit ribosomal RNA", at positions 396 to 1370 of the family's 1533-position model. The record is from RNAcentral. Lineage: Bacteria; Bacillati; Bacillota; Bacilli; Caryophanales; Staphylococcaceae.
GCCGCGUGAGUGAUGAAGGGUUUCGGCUCGUAAAACUCUGUUAUUAGGGAAGAACAAAUGUGUAAGUAACUGUGCACGUCUUGACGGUACCUAAUCAGAAAGCCACGGCUAACUACGUGCCAGCAGCCGCGGUAAUACGUAGGUGGCAAGCGUUAUCCGGAAUUAUUGGGCGUAAAGCGCGCGUAGGCGGUUUCUUAAGUCUGAUGUGAAAGCCCACGGCUCAACCGUGGAGGGUCAUUGGAAACUGGGAAACUUGAGUGCAGAAGAGGAAAGUGGAAUUCCAUGUGUAGCGGUGAAAUGCGCAGAGAUAUGGAGGAACACCAGUGGCGAAGGCGACUUUCUGGUCUGUAACUGACGCUGAUGUGCGAAAGCGUGGGGAUCAAACAGGAUUAGAUACCCUGGUAGUCCACGCCGUAAACGAUGAGUGCUAAGUGUUAGGGGGUUUCCGCCCCUUAGUGCUGCAGCUAACGCAUUAAGCACUCCGCCUGGGGAGUACGACCGCAAGGUUGAAACUCAAAGGAAUUGACGGGGACCCGCACAAGCGGUGGAGCAUGUGGUUUAAUUCNAAGCAACGCGAAGAACCUUACCAAAUCUUGACAUCCUUUGAAAACUCUAGAGAUAGAGCCUUCCCCUUCGGGGGACAAAGUGACAGGUGGUGCAUGGUUGUCGUCAGCUCGUGUCGUGAGAUGUUGGGUUAAGUCCCGCAACGAGCGCAACCCUUAAGCUUAGUUGCCAUCAUUAAGUUGGGGCACUCUAGGNUGACUGCCGGUGACAAACCGGAGGAAGGNGGGGAUGACGUCAAAUCAUCAUGCCCCUUAUGAUUUGGGNCUACACACGUGCUACNAUGNACAAUACAAAGGGNCAGCUAAACCGCGAGGUCAUGCAAANNCCAUAAAGUUGUUCUCAGUUCGGAUUGUAGUCUGCANUCGACUACAUGAAGCUGGAAUCGCUAGUAAUCGUAGAUCAGCAUGCUACGGUGAAUACG